This 354-nucleotide ribosomal RNA is filed under the name uncultured bacterium. Its description in RNAcentral is "bacterial SSU rRNA". It matches the Rfam family "Bacterial small subunit ribosomal RNA", at positions 29 to 372 of the family's 1533-position model. The record is from RNAcentral.
AACGAACGCUGGCGGCGCGCCUAAUACAUGCAAGUCGAGCGAGAAGACGUAGCAAUACGUUUGUAAAGCGGCGAACGGGUGAGGAAUACAUGGGUAACCUACCCUCGAGUGGGGAAUAACUAGCCGAAAGGUUAGCUAAUACCGCGUACGCUCCUUGGACUUCGGUUCAGGGAGGAAAGCGAUACCGUGGGUAUCGCGCUCUUGGAUGGGCUCAUGUCCUAUCAGCUUGUUGGUGAGGUAACGGCUCACCAAGGCUUCGACGGGUAGCUGGUCUGAGAGGACGAUCAGCCACACUGGCACUGCGACACGGGCCAGACUCCUACGGGAGGCAGCAGUAAGGAAUAUCGCGGCAAU